RNAcentral lists this ribosomal RNA (1483 nucleotides) under Globisporangium heterothallicum. RNAcentral describes it as "partial 28S ribosomal RNA". It matches the Rfam family "Eukaryotic large subunit ribosomal RNA", at positions 1 to 1289 of the family's 3401-position model. Lineage: Eukaryota; Oomycota; Peronosporomycetes; Pythiales; Pythiaceae. The record is from RNAcentral.
UUGGACCUGAUAUCAGACAAGACUACCCGCUGAACUUAAGCAUAUUAAUAAGCGGAGGAAAAGAAACUAACAAGGAUUCCCCUAGUAACGGCGAGUGAAGCGGGAUGAGCUCAAGCUUAAAAUCUCUGUGCAAGUUUUGCAUGGCGAAUUGUAGUCUAUAGAGGCGAUGUCAGUGCAGCUAUUCGGGGUAAGUUCCUUGGAAGAGGACAGCAUCGAGGGUGAUACUCCCGUUUGUACCUGAGUAGCUUGCGCGUACGACACGUUUUCUUCGAGUCGCGUUGUUUGGGACUGCAGCGCAAAGUAGGUGGUAAAUUCCAUCUAAAGCUAAAUAUUGGUGCGAGACCGAUAGCGAACAAGUACCGUGAGGGAAAGAUGAAAAGAACUUUGAAAAGAGAGUUAAAGAGUACCUGAAACUGCUGAAAGGGAAGCGAAUCGUAUCCAGUGUCUAUAAUCCGUGGCAUAUUUCAUUGGCGAGUGUGUGCGUGCGAUGCGUAAGAAGUAGCUUGCUGCUCUUUGUGUUGUUCUGCGCUUGCUUGCUGGUGCCCUGUGUCGUGGUGGGACGUCAGAGUCAGUUCGUAUGCUGCGGGAAAUGGCUAUCGAGGAGGUAGGUUAGGAGCUUGCUCUUGGCUGUUAUAUCUUGGUAUGCUAGUGGUCGUGGUUGGGACUGAGGUGCCUACAACGUGCUUUAAAGUCUUGCGGUGUCUUAUUUGGUUAACUGUUUGGAUAGCUUGCUAUGCCUAUGGCCUAAUCGAGUGAUGGAUACUGUAGGUAACUUUUGCCGUUCGGGACUUUGACGAAAUGGAGCGAUUCGGCCCGUCUUGAAACACGGACCAAGGAGUCUAACAUGUGUGCAAGUGUUAGGGUGUGGAAACCCCAGCGCGAAAUGAAAGUAAAGGGUAGCGUACGCUGCCUGAGGUAGGAAACCUUUGUUCUCAGAGGUGGCACUAUCGACCGAUCAUGAACCUUCGUGGUGAAAGAUUUGAGUAUGAGCACAUAUGUUGGUACCCGAAAGAUGGUGAACUAUGCCUGAGUAGGGUGAAGCCAGGGGAAACUCUGGUGGAAGCUCGUAGCGAUUCUGACGUGCAAAUCGAUCGUCAAACUUGGGUAUAGGGGCGAAAGACUAAUCGAACCAUCUAGUAGCUGGUUCCCUCCGAAAUUUCCCUCAGGAUAGCAGCAACUUAUUUACGAUAGUUUUAUGAGGUAAAGCGAAUGAUUAGAGGACUGGGGGAAGAAACUUCCUUCGCCUAUUCUCAAACUUUAAAUCUGUAAGACCUGCAGGUUUCUUAAUUGAACUUGUGGAUGUGAAUAUCAAGUUGCUAGUGGGCCAUACCGGGUAAGCUGGUCUGGCGAUGCGGGAUGAUCCGAACGCAAAGUUAAAGUGCCAAAAUACCCGCUCACCUAGAUACCAUAAAAGGUGUUGGUUCAUUUAGACAGCAGGACGGUGGCCAUGGAAGUCGGAAUCCGCUAAGGAGUGUGUAACAAC